UACGUAGGGUGCAAGCGUUGUCCGGAAUUAUUGGGCGUAAAGGGCUCGUAGGCGGUCCAUCGCGUCGGGGGUGAAAAGCUGGGGCUUAACCCCAGUCCUGCUUCCGAUACGGGUGGACUAGAGGUAGGUAGGGGAGAACGGAAUUCCUGGUGUAGCGGUGAAAUGCGCAGAUAUCAGGAGGAACACCGAUGGCGAAGGCAGCUCGCUGGGACGGUACUGACGCUGAGACGCGAAAGCGUGGGGAGCAAACAGG
Molecule: ribosomal RNA, 253 nt
Filed under: uncultured bacterium
Lineage: Bacteria
Description: partial 16S ribosomal RNA
Rfam family: Bacterial small subunit ribosomal RNA
Source: RNAcentral